GACGAACGCUGGCGGCGUGCUUAACACAUGCAAGUCGAACGGUAAGGCCCUUCGGGGUACACGAGUGGCGAACGGGUGAGUAACACGUGGGUGAUCUGCCCUGCACUUCGGGAUAAGCCUGGGAAGCUGGGUCUAAUACCGGAUAGGACCCUGGGAUGCAUGUCCUGGGGUGGAAAGCUUUUGCGGUGUGGGAUGGGCCCGCGGCCUAUCAGCUUGUUGGUGGGGUGAUGGCCUACCAAGGCGACGACGGGUAGCCGGCCUGAGAGGGUGACCGGCCACACUGGGACUGGGAUACGGCCCAGACUCCUACGGGAGGCAGAAGUGGGGAAUAUUGCACAAUGGGCGCAAGCCUGAUGCAGCGACGCCGCGUGAGGGAUGACGGCCUUCGGGUUGUAAACCUCUUUCAGCACCGACGAAGCGCAAGUGACGGUAGGUGCAGAAGAAGGACCGGCCAACUACGUGCCAGCCGCCGCCGUAA
RNAcentral lists this ribosomal RNA (478 nucleotides) under uncultured bacterium. Its description in RNAcentral is "partial 16S ribosomal RNA". It matches the Rfam family "Bacterial small subunit ribosomal RNA", at positions 28 to 523 of the family's 1533-position model. The record is from RNAcentral.